This 160-nucleotide ribosomal RNA is filed under the name Geosmithia sp. CCF3703. RNAcentral's name for it is "5.8S ribosomal RNA". The stretch from base 1 to 133 matches the Rfam family "5.8S ribosomal RNA", at positions 22 to 154 of the family's 154-position model. Rfam says of the family: 5.8S ribosomal RNA (5.8S rRNA) is a component of the large subunit of the eukaryotic ribosome. It is transcribed by RNA polymerase I as part of the 45S precursor that also contains 18S and 28S rRNA. Functionally, it is thought that 5.8S rRNA may be involved in ribosome translocation. Lineage: Eukaryota; Fungi; Ascomycota; Sordariomycetes; Hypocreales; Bionectriaceae. RNAcentral also lists the same sequence under 2 other names. The record is from RNAcentral.
UGGUUCUGGCAUCGAUGAAGAACGCAGCGAAAUGCGAUAAGUAAUGUGAAUUGCAGAAUUCAGUGAAUCAUCGAAUCUUUGAACGCACAUUGCGCCCGCCAGUACUCUGGCGGGCAUGCCUGUCCGAGCGUCAUUUCAACCCUCAGCGCCCCCCUUUCGG